RNAcentral lists this ribosomal RNA (374 nucleotides) under Caldicochlea harrisi. RNAcentral's name for it is "partial 16S ribosomal RNA". It matches the Rfam family "Bacterial large subunit ribosomal RNA", at positions 1939 to 2526 of the family's 2925-position model. The record is from RNAcentral. Lineage: Eukaryota; Metazoa; Mollusca; Gastropoda; Littorinimorpha; Tateidae.
ACUCUGACCGUGCAAAGGUAGCAUAAUCAUUUGCCUUAUAAUUGAAGGCUAGCAUGAAUGGUUUGAUGAGAACAAAGCUGUCUCCUUUUAAUUUUAUAAAACUUGAUUUUUGGGUGAAGAAGCCCAAAUAAAAUUGAUAGACGAGAAGACCCUAUCGAGCUUAAAAAAAUUUUAUUAAAAUAAAAUUUGCUUGCAAAAGACUAAUUAUAAUAAAAAAUUUUAGUUGGGGCGACUAAGGAACAAUAAAGCUUCCAUUUUUAAUAUUAUAGCAUAUUAGCUAUGAUCCAAAAUUUUUGAUUAAAARAAUUAGUUACCGUAGGGAUAACAGCAUAAUCUUUUUUGAGAGUUCUUAUCAAAAAGAAGGUUUGUGACCU